CCUACGGGACGCAGCAGUGAGGAAUAUUGGUCAAUGAACACAAGUCUGAACCCGCCAUGCCGCGUGCAGGAAGACGGCUCUAUGAGUUGUAAACUGCUUUUGUACGAGGGUAAACGCAGAUACGCGUAUCUGUCUGAAAGUAUCGUACGAAUAAGGAUCGGCUAACUCCGUGCCAGCAGCCGCGGUAAUACGGAGGAUUCAAGCGUUAUCCGGAUUUAUUUGGUUUAAAGGGGGCGUAGGCGGUCGGAUAAGUUAGAGGUGAAAUCCCGAGGCUCAAAUUCGGAAUUGCCUCUGAUACUGUUCGGCUAGAGAGUAGUGGCGGUAGGCGGAAGGUAUGGUGUAGCGGUGAAAUGCUUAGAGAUCAUACAGAACACCGAUUGCGAAGGCAGCUUACCAAGCUACUUCUGACGUUGAGGCACGAAAGCGUGGGGAGCAAACAGGAUUAGAUACCCGGGUAGUC
RNAcentral lists this ribosomal RNA (460 nucleotides) under uncultured bacterium. RNAcentral describes it as "partial 16S ribosomal RNA". It matches the Rfam family "Bacterial small subunit ribosomal RNA", at positions 338 to 795 of the family's 1533-position model. The record is from RNAcentral.